This 243-nucleotide ribosomal RNA is filed under the name Triticum aestivum (bread wheat). RNAcentral's name for it is "partial small subunit ribosomal RNA". The record is from RNAcentral. Lineage: Eukaryota; Viridiplantae; Streptophyta; Magnoliopsida; Poales; Poaceae.
UGCGAUGAAGUUGAGACAACGACUCAUCUAUUUUUUACCUGUCCCGUGGCUCGUGUGGUAUGGAGAUCAAUAGGGGUCGUUUUGGGGACUAACUGGUGCACUAAUGAUUACUGGCAAUACUAUGUUUGGUGUCACAAAUUUCUCCGUGAUGAACCCUAGUUGUAUACGAUCGGUCUGGCUACUGCCACCUGGGCCAUUUGGCUAGCUCGUAACAGUGACACUUUUGAGAAAAAAAUUGAUUAA